Molecule: ribosomal RNA, 460 nt
Filed under: uncultured bacterium
Lineage: Bacteria
Description: partial 16S ribosomal RNA
Rfam family: Bacterial small subunit ribosomal RNA
Source: RNAcentral
CCUACGGGAGGCAGCAGUGAGGAAUAUUGGUCAAUGGACGCAAGUCUGAACCAGCCAUGCCGCGUGCAGGAUGACGGCUCUAUGAGUUGUAAACUGCUUUUGUACGAGGGUAAACCCCGAUACGUGUAUCGGGUUGAAAGUAUCGUAUGAAUAAGGAUCGGCUAACUCCGUGCCAGCAGCCGCGGUAAUACGGAGGAUCCGAGCGUUAUCCGGAUUUAUUGGGUUUAAAGGGUGCGUAGGUGGUUUGAUAAGUUAGAGGUGAAAUGUUGGGGCUCAACCCCGAAACUGCAUGUAAUACUGUUAGACUAGAGAAUAGUUGCGGUAGGCGGAAUGUAUGGUGUAGCGGUGAAAUGCUUAGAGAUCAUACAGAACACCGAUUGCGAAGGCAGCUUACCAAACUAUAUCUGACGUUGAGGCACGAAAGCGUGGGUAGCAAACAGGAUUAGAUACCCCAGUAGUC